Molecule: long non-coding RNA, 720 nt
Filed under: Lingula anatina
Lineage: Eukaryota; Metazoa; Brachiopoda; Lingulata; Lingulida; Lingulidae
Description: uncharacterized LOC106151693
Source: RNAcentral
CCGGUAGAUUUGAGACCCGAGCAGGGAAAGGAAGGCAGGUAGAUAUGAGUCGGCACGCUAAGUUUAUAGCAAGAACGGUUUUAUGUGAACCUGGGAAAGUAGAGCAAGGGUUUAUGAAGUUAAGGAAAAUACUUGUGGUAGAUGGAAUAGAAAGGGACCUCCAGAAGCAAAAGCACAGCAUGAAGCCAUAUAUUGCCAAGGCAAGAAAAGUACAAGCAGUAAAAUCAACAAUAAUAAGGAAAGAAAUGAAAGUAAAAACAGAUUUUCUUACAUCUUUGAAAAAUAGGAGGAAUCCAUUUCCAAGAUAGCACAGAAGAGGAGGAUAUGAAGGAAAUAAGGAGACAUUUUCAAUGAUUGAAACUGUGAACUUCAAAUAUGCAGACUGGCAGUUUGAAUUAUUUGAUCGAACUUCAAAACUGCAAAGAAAAGCAGUAUUGACCCCUGAACUGAAAGUACGUUCAGUUUGUAUACCUCUACCAAAAAAGAUGGUUUCUUUGCACUUUGACCUAGGUGUGUAACACAGUUUAUGGUUUGCAGUACAUAUUGACUGCCUUAUAAAAGCACAACUAUACGAACUGAAAGAACAUUCGAUUACUUCAUGUACUGUCUUUAAGGAAAAAAUAGUUUCUUGGACAUUUAAUUCACACAUUAAACCACAGCUUUUAUAAAUUCUUUAUUUUUAAAACAAAGAUAUUUACAAAAGCUCGCAUACUAGAGUAC